Ailuropoda melanoleuca (giant panda) is the source of this 984-nucleotide long non-coding RNA. RefSeq lists it as uncharacterized. The record is from RefSeq and is a predicted model, not a curated record. The transcript is spliced from 3 exons. NCBI's taxonomy places the organism in Eukaryota, Metazoa, Chordata, Mammalia, Carnivora, Ursidae.
UUGACACCGGCUUCACAGAAGGAGCCGGCGGACGGGCGGUGGGCGGUCAGCCCGCACCUGCACCAGCCGGAAGUGAGGCCGCCGAGGGCUGAGCGGAGCCUGGGGUUCCCAGCCCGCGGUCCUGUGGGAGGAGUGAUAGUUGCGCUGUCCCCACCGCGCGCCCCCAGACCCCGCCAGGUCUGUCGCUGUGACAGGACCGCCACGGAAGCAAGGACAGACCGAGGGAACAGAGAAGAUAACACAAGCACAAACCAAGACCACGAAAAUCUACCUUGCACUGAUUUACAGAUGGCGACGGCUUGUUUCCGCCGUAAAGGGCAGCUGAGCGGUAACAGCGCCCCCUGGAGUUCGCGCCGCCCACCCCCUGCACAGUUCUUCUGCGAGGCCACAGGUGCUGGGGGAAAAUCAAGAGCUUGUGAGUGAGAUGUGCCAUCACCCAGGCGCUCCAAGUCCUUGACAGAGUGCAAACGUGCUCUAAAACUGCUCCCUUUAUACCAGGACGUCUUAACUCAAACACCCGCAGGGCCAGGCUGACAAGGUCCCACCGAAACUUCAGGAAAGACCUAACCCGCAAAGACGGGGACUGUGGGAAAGGAGACAGCCGCAAUUCAGCGCUGGAAACCAUAGCAGAGGGAGGGGAAGAGGUGACUCCGACUGAGGGAAGCCAAAGUCCCAGCAGGCGGUGAGGUAGCCACCGCCGAGCAGGCCGACUCUCCACCCACAUCACACCCCAAAACCUCCGGAAGGAACAGGUGGCACUGGAAAAACCCUUCUCUGAAAAAUCUCACCACCCCAAAGGGAAAAAGACCCAAAGAUGCUGACUUUGCAGUGUCCCCCACAGGCCCAUUCAGGCUCCCCUCACUAAGCACGGUCAACGAAUCCCAGCGCUAAGCUCAGGGCUCCCAGCUUUCUGUCCUCCCCUCUUAAUCAUGGAGAUGAUGGAGCUUCCUGGGAGGCAGAAGUCCUCCUAAAAGAAAAAAGCAA